UGGGGGAUAUUGCACAAUGGGCGAAAGCCUGAUGCAGCGACGCCGCGUGGGGGAUGAAGGCCUUCGGGUUGUAAACUUCUUUUGCUCUGAACAAGGCGCACCAUGGGGUGUGUUGAGUGUAGGGGUUGAUUAGCGCCGGCUAACUACGUGCCAGCAGCCGCGGUAAUACGUAGGGCGCGAGCGUUGUCCGGAAUUAUUGGGCGUAAAGGGCUUGUAGGUGGCUGGUUGCGUCUGUCGUGAAAGCUCAUGGCUUAACUGUGGGUUUGCGGUGGGUACGGUCUGUCUUGAGUGCAGUAGGGGAGGCUGGAAUUCCUGGUGUAGCGGUGGAAUGCGCAGAUAUCAGGAGGAAUACCGGUGGCGAAGGCGGGUCUCUGGGCUGUUACUGACACUGAGGAGCGAAAGCAUGGGGAGCGAACAGG
RNAcentral lists this ribosomal RNA (419 nucleotides) under Chloroflexota bacterium. RNAcentral's name for it is "Chloroflexi bacterium partial 16S ribosomal RNA". It matches the Rfam family "Bacterial small subunit ribosomal RNA", at positions 355 to 776 of the family's 1533-position model. The record is from RNAcentral. Lineage: Bacteria; Bacillati; Chloroflexota.